Molecule: ribosomal RNA, 497 nt
Filed under: uncultured bacterium
Lineage: Bacteria
Description: partial 16S ribosomal RNA
Rfam family: Bacterial small subunit ribosomal RNA
Source: RNAcentral
GAUGAACGCUGGCGGCGUGCCUAAUACAUGCAAGUCGAGCGAACAGACGAGGAGCUUGCUCCUCCGACGUUAGCGGCGGACGGGUGAGUAACACGUGGAUAACCUACCUAUAAGACUGGGAUAACUUCGGGAAACCGGAGCUAAUACCGGAUAAUAUAUUGAACCGCAUGGUUCAAUAGUGAAAGACGGUUUUGCUGUCACUUAUAGAUGGAUCCGCGCCGCAUUAGCUAGUUGGUAAGGUAACGGCUUACCAAGGCAACGAUGCGUAGCCGACCUGAGAGGGUGAUCGGCCACACUGGAACUGUGACACGGUCCAGACUCCUACGGGAGGCAGCAGUAGGGAAUCUUCCGCAAUGGGCGAAAGCCUGACGGAGCAACGCCGCGUGAGUGAUGAAGGUCUUCGGAUCGUAAAACUCUGUUAUUAGGGAAGAACAAAUGUGUAAGUAACUAUGCACGUCUUGACGGUACCUAAUCAGAAAGCCACGGCUAACUACGUG